RNAcentral lists this ribosomal RNA (1857 nucleotides) under Acidovorax sp. CCH12-A4. Its description in RNAcentral is "bacterial LSU rRNA". It matches the Rfam family "Bacterial large subunit ribosomal RNA", at positions 1 to 1973 of the family's 2925-position model. The record is from RNAcentral. Lineage: Bacteria; Pseudomonadati; Pseudomonadota; Betaproteobacteria; Burkholderiales; Comamonadaceae.
UCAAGCGUGAGGUAAGAGCAUUUGGUGGAUGCCUUGGCAUGUACAGGCGAUGAAGGACGUGGCACGCUGCGAUAAGCGUGGGGGAGCUGUGAGCAAGCUUUGAUCCCGCGAUUUCCGAAUGGGGAAACCCACCCUCACCAUUUCAUUUCGCUGCUGGUUUUGGCCAGUGUCGGAAUGAGGUGGAUAGGGUAUCACCUUGGUGAAUAAAAUAGCCUUGGUGAAGCGAACCCGGAGAACUGAAACAUCUCAGUACCCGGAGGAAAAGACAUCAACCGAGAUUCCGUUAGUAGUGGCGAGCGAACGCGGACCAGGCCAGUGCCUGAUGUUGAGUUAGCAGAACAUUCUGGAAAGUUUGACCAUAGCGGGUGACAGUCCCGUAUGCGAAAGCGAAACAUCAGGACUUGAGUAGGGCGGGACACGUGAAAUCCUGUCUGAACAUGGGGGGACCACCCUCCAAGCCUAAAUACUCGUACAUGACCGAUAGCGAACAAGUACCGUGAGGGAAAGGUGAAAAGCACCCCGAUGAGGGGAGUGAAACAGUACCUGAAACCGAAUGCUUACAAUCAGUUGGAGGGUCCUUGAGGCCUGACAGCGUACCUCUUGUAUAAUGGGUCAGUGACUUAAUCUAUCAAGCGAGCUUAAGCCGUUAGGUGUAGGCGCAGCGAAAGCGAGUCUGAACAGGGCGACUGAGUUUGAUGGAUUAGACCCGAAACCCGGCGAUCUAGGCAUGACCAGGCUGAAGGUGCGGUAACACGCACUGGAGGGCCGAACCGUUUAAUGUUGAAAAAUUAUCGGAUGAGUUGUGUUUAGGGGUGAAAGGCCAAUCAAGCCGGGAAAUAGCUGGUUCUCCGCGAAAUCUAUUUAGGUAGAGCGUCGGAUGUUUACCUGUGGGGGUAGAGCACUGGAUGGGCUAGGGGGUCGCGAGAUCUACCAAACCUAACCAAACUCCGAAUACCACAGAGUUAGUCCGGCAGACAGACGGCGGGUGCUAAGGUCCGUCGUCAAAAGGGAAACAGCCCUAACCUACAGCUAAGGUCCCCAAAUCGUAUCUAAGUGGGAAAGCAUGUGGGAUUUCCAAAACAACCAGGAGGUUGGCUUAGAAGCAGCCAUCCUUUAAAGAAAGCGUAACAGCUCACUGGUCUAAAUAAGAGAUCCUGCGGCGAAAAUGUAACGGGGCUCAAGAUACGUACCGAAGCUUAGGGUGUGCAUUUAUGCACGCGGUAGCGGAGCGUUCCGUAAGCCUGUGAAGCGGGAGGGUAACCGACCGUGGAGGUAUCGGAAGUGAGAAUGCUGACAUGAGUAGCGAUAAAGAGGGUGAGAUGCCCUCUCGCCGAAAUCCCAAGGGUUCCUGCUUAAAGCUAAUCUGAGCAGGGUGAGCCGGCCCCUAAGACGAGCCCGAAGGGGGUAGUCGAUGGGAACCACGUUAAUAUUCGUGGGCCUGGAGGUGUGUGACGGAUGGCGUAAGUUGUCAGGCCUUAUUGGAUUGGUCUGGCUUCGAAGUUGUCCCAGGAAAUAGCCCCUCCGUAUAGACCGUACCCUAAACCGACACAGGUGGGAUGGUAGAGUAUACCAAGGCGCUUGAGAGAAGUGUACUGAAGGAACUCGGCAAAUUACCUCCGUAACUUCGGGAGAAGGAGGCCCCACAUAUGGGCAACCAUGUGUGGGGGGCACAAGCCAGGGGGUAGCGACUGUUUAGCAAAAACACAGGACUCUGCUAAGUCGGCUUCAAGACGACGUAUAGGGUCUGACGCCUGCCCGGUGCUGGAAGGUUAAGAGGAGGAGUGCAAGCUCUGAAUUGAAGCCCCAGUAAACGGCGGCCGUAACUAUAACGGUCCUAAGGUAGCGAAAUUCCUUGUC